Molecule: ribosomal RNA, 325 nt
Filed under: uncultured eukaryote
Lineage: Eukaryota
Description: partial 18S ribosomal RNA
Rfam family: Eukaryotic small subunit ribosomal RNA
Source: RNAcentral
CCCUUAGAUGUCCUGGGCCGCACGCGCGCUACACUGAUGCAUUCAACGAGUUUUACCUUGGCCGAGAGGCCUGGGCAAUCUUUUAAACCUGCAUCGCGAUAGGGAUAGAUUAUUGCAAUUAUUAAUCUUGAACGAGGAAUUCCUAGUAAACGCAAAUCAUCAAUUUGCAUUGAUUACGUCCCUGCCCUUUGUACACACCGCCCGUCGCACCUACCGAUUGAAUGGUCCGGUGAAGCCUCGGGAUUGUGGCCAGUUCACUUUAUUGGGAGUUGGCUGCGAGAACUUGUCUAAACCUUAUCAUUUAGAGGAAGGUGAAGUCGUAACA